This 164-nucleotide ribosomal RNA is filed under the name uncultured bacterium. RNAcentral's name for it is "partial 16S rRNA". It matches the Rfam family "Bacterial small subunit ribosomal RNA", at positions 355 to 511 of the family's 1533-position model. The record is from RNAcentral.
UAGGGAAUCUUCCACAAUGGGCGCAAGCCUGAUGGAGCAACACCGCGUGAGUGAAGAAGGGUUUCGGCUCGUAAAGCUCUGUUGUUAAAGAAGAACAUGCGAGAGAGUAACUGUUCUUGUAUUGACGGUAUCUAACCAGAAAGCCACGGCUAACUACGUGCCAG